AUGGAAGUUCCCACGCUAGGGGUCUAAUUGAAGCUGUGGCCACUGGCCUGCGCCAGAGCCACAGCAACAGGAGAUCCAAGCCGCGUCUGCAACCUACAACACAGCUCAUGGCAACACUGGAUCCUUAACCCACUGAGCAAGACCAGGGAUUGAACCCACAACGUCAUGGUUCCUAGUCGGAUUUGUUAACCACUGCAUCACCACGGGAACUCCCUGUCUUGGUUUAAUUAUUUUGCUAUUUUCAUUUAUAUGUGCAAAGAUACUAUGUGUUUUCUUAAUAGGAAAUUUGCGAUUGGGGAGGAUUUGACAAAAAAUUUUUAUCCAAAGGAUGCCCAUAUUAUGGUACCUGACGCAUAGAAGAAUCUAAUGCAGUUGAUAAGAAAGAAUGAGAUAGGAAGGAUUCCUGCUGACCAGGAAGGAUUUCUAAACACAGACUAUUUGAUAAUAAGUAUGUAUAGUAUAAACCUGUUUUUAUUAAAAUAUUAAUAGUAAAAAGUAAUACGUGUUUGUCUUUUUAGGAAACUAUGAAAUAAAUUGUAACCAACUUGUGUUCACAAGAGAAGGAAGAUAAUGGGUUACUAUCUCUUUCUAAAUACAUUUCCAUAUAAUUUUAUUGUGGAAUUUAUUUGUAUAUCGAAAUACUUCGGCCUAUCAUUGGAAAUCUGACAACCGAAAUGUGAGCUCUAAGCCUUGUGAGGCAGUGAGCCCUUAUUAUGGUACCUUCAUUUUCCAGAUGAAGGAACACGGCGUCAAGAGGACUGACCAUUGAUGUUCUCUGUGGGUGGCAGGCAGAUUUGACAUCCUUCUUCUCCAGUGAUUUUCCAGAGUGAUGAAGCUACCUAUUAAAGAAUGCUUUUCAAAAAGCCGUAAUGAGCCUAAUCCUUGAAUAGGAAAUAGAAGUUACUAUGCAACCUUACAAGGAAAAAAUCUAUCUUGAUUUCUUUCAAAACCACAAUCUUUAAACCUCUAAUCAGUGCUAAUCCAGUUUCAGCAAGAAAAGAUGUGGACAAGAGAAAGAAGUGGGCAGAUACACAAUCUGCUGGUUGUAUUUUCCCAAGAGGAUCAUCUCCUUUUCCUUUCAGAAGAUGCCAAAUUGGAGCCGAACAUCAGGGUUACCAGGAAUGUCUUGGAGGCAAUCAGUUGCUUUCCACUGGCUGUCAGAAGUGGAUGAUGAAUGCAAACUUCAUACCUUUAUGAAAAGGGUACGAACACAGAAAGUGCUGUUGAAGGAUUGUGUGGUCUGGAUCAGUGAUGAGAACAGGAAACAAGAUUUCCCCAUCAAGUAGGCUGUCUUGACCUAUAGCUGUGUCUGCCUGCCACCUAAUAAGGGACAUUGCUGUUAUAGAUCAAAGAAAACUGGAGAAAAGAACACAAAUUUGUUGUGUUCAAGGUUGCAUUGCAGAUGCUGUCUGAGUGUUAACAACUUGGUUAUUGGGGGGAAAGGGAGGAUAUUCCCAGACUGAAACUACUAUGCCUUAUCAUCUGGGACCCAAAAGAGCUAGUAGAAUUGCAAAUUUUCAGUCUUUCUGAAGAAGGCACCACGUGAUAAUGUGUUAUAAGGAAGCCCCUGAACAAAGAAGGUAAGAAACCCAGGACCACAGUGCUCAAAACAUCAUUGUGUCUCUGAAGAAAGCACAUACUAAGCAAACUAAGGACAAGCCUUUAGAAUGAUAUGCUUUUGGCCAAGGGAAUGAAGGAAACCAAAGAAAAAUGCCAGAAACAGACUUCUGAGGCAUAGAGGCUGACCCUUCUGGGUGCUUCUACCUCUAGGUCUGAGUCUAGUCAAAAACAGGACUUUUCUAAGAAUAACAAAUUAAUAACAUCAGACAUUACAAAAGAUUAAAUGAGAUUUUAAAAAAAUACAUGAAUAUAUUUCACUACAAAAAGAUCUUGAAAAUGAUAUUUCUAGUUCCUGAAAAGGCGCCCUCACAUAAUGGUCAUAGCGCUCAAAUGGGUCAGAGAAAGAAAGACAGAUUUUCUUUCUUUAACCUGCUUUCCAUAGUACUUCUGGCUUUCCUGGGUCUCUCUCAUCUUCUCUGGUUCUCAUGCCCUCUCUCAUAUUUUCCUCCAGGGAUCCCUUUCUUUCUCUUUUUUGAGGGGUCAGCUGCUCAGCCCCAACCAAUAAACAAUAAUAAUAAUGAAAUCA
This 2146-nucleotide long non-coding RNA is filed under the name Sus scrofa (pig). Its description in RNAcentral is "lncRNA (ENSSSCG00035049305.1)". The record is from RNAcentral. Lineage: Eukaryota; Metazoa; Chordata; Mammalia; Artiodactyla; Suidae.